RNAcentral lists this ribosomal RNA (1403 nucleotides) under Lactobacillus helveticus. RNAcentral's name for it is "bacterial SSU rRNA". It matches the Rfam family "Bacterial small subunit ribosomal RNA". The record is from RNAcentral. Lineage: Bacteria; Bacillati; Bacillota; Bacilli; Lactobacillales; Lactobacillaceae.
AUGGGUGAGUAACACGUGGGGAACCUGCCCCAUAGUCUAGGAUACCACUUGGAAACAGGUGCUAAUACCGGAUAAUAAAGCAGAUCGCAUGAUCAGCUUAUAAAAGGCGGCGUAAGCUGUCGCUAUGGGAUGGCCCCGCGGUGCAUUAGCUAGUUGGUAAGGUAACGGCUUACCAAGGCAAUGAUGCAUAGCCGAGUUGAGAGACUGAACGGCCACAUUGGGACUGAGACACGGCCCAAACUCCUACGGGAGGCAGCAGUAGGGAAUCUUCCACAAUGGACGCAAGUCUGAUGGAGCAACGCCGCGUGAGUGAAGAAGGUUUUCGGAUCGUAAAGCUCUGUUGUUGGUGAAGAAGGAUAGAGGUAGUAACUGGCCUUUAUUUGACGGUAAUCAACCAGAAAGUCACGGCUAACUACGUGCCAGCAGCCGCGGUAAUACGUAGGUGGCAAGCGUUGUCCGGAUUUAUUGGGCGUAAAGCGAGCGCAGGCGGAAGAAUAAGUCUGAUGUGAAAGCCCUCGGCUUAACCGAGGAAUUGCAUCGGAAACUGUUUUUCUUGAGUGCAGAAGAGGAGAGUGGAACUCCAUGUGUAGCGGUGGAAUGCGUAGAUAUAUGGAAGAACACCAGUGGCGAAGGCGGCUCUCUGGUCUGCAACUGACGCUGAGGCUCGAAAGCAUGGGUAGCGAACAGGAUUAGAUACCCUGGUAGUCCAUGCCGUAAACGAUGAGUGCUAAGUGUUGGGAGGUUUCCGCCUCUCAGUGCUGCAGCUAACGCAUUAAGCACUCCGCCUGGGGAGUACGACCGCAAGGUUGAAACUCAAAGGAAUUGACGGGGGCCCGCACAAGCGGUGGAGCAUGUGGUUUAAUUCGAAGCAACGCGAAGAACCUUACCAGGUCUUGACAUCUAGUGCCAUCCUAAGAGAUUAGGAGUUCCCUUCGGGGACGCUAAGACAGGUGGUGCAUGGCUGUCGUCAGCUCGUGUCGUGAGAUGUUGGGUUAAGUCCCGCAACGAGCGCAACCCUUAUUAUUAGUUGCCAGCAUUAAGUUGGGCACUCUAAUGAGACUGCCGGUGACAAACCGGAGGAAGGUGGGGAUGACGUCAAGUCAUCAUGCCCCUUAUGACCUGGGCUACACACGUGCUACAAUGGGCAGUACAACGAGAAGCGAGCCUGCGAAGGCAAGCGAAUCUCUGAAAGCUGUUCUCAGUUCGGACUGCAGUCUGCAACUCGACUGCACGAAGCUGGAAUCGCUAGUAAUCGCGGAUCAGAACGCCGCGGUGAAUACGUUCCCGGGCCUUGUACACACCGCCCGUCACACCAUGGAAGUCUGCAAUGCCCAAAGCCGGUGGCCUAACCUUCGGGAAGGAGCCGUCUAAGGCAGGGCAGAUGACUGGGGUGAAGUCGUACA